GACGAACGCUGGCGGCGCGCUUAACACAUGCAAGUCGAACGGAAAGGCCUGCUUUCCCUUGUGGAUUGCGGGUACUCGAGUGGCGAACGGGUGAGUAACACGUGAGUGAUCUGCCCCCAACUUGGGUAUAAGCCUGGGAAACUGGGUCUAAUUCCCGAUAGGACUGCAGGGUGGUGCCUGUGGUGGAAAACGAUUUUCUAGUGGUUGGGGAUGAGCUCGCGGCUUAUCAGCUUGUUGGUGGGGUAAUGGCCUACCAAGGCGGCGACGGGUAGCCGGCCUGAGAGGGUGGACGGCCACAUUGGGACUAAGAUACGGCCCAGACUCCUACGGGAGGCAGCAGUGGGGAAUAUUGCACAAUGGGCGGAAGCCUGAUGCAGCGACGCCGCGUGGGGGAUGACGGCCUUCGGGUUGUAAACUCCUUUCGACCGCGAGGAAGCCACCUGGUUGGAAGGGUGGUGACGGUAGUGGUAGAAGAAGCACCGGCUAACUACGUG
RNAcentral lists this ribosomal RNA (494 nucleotides) under uncultured bacterium. RNAcentral describes it as "partial 16S ribosomal RNA". It matches the Rfam family "Bacterial small subunit ribosomal RNA", at positions 28 to 507 of the family's 1533-position model. The record is from RNAcentral.